AUUGAACGCUGGCGGCAGGCCUAACACAUGCAAGUCGAACGGUAACAGGAAGAAGCUUGCUUCUUUGCUGACGAGUGGCGGACGGGUGAGUAAUGUCUGGGAAACUGCCUGAUGGAGGGGGAUAACUACUGGAAACGGUAGCUAAUACCGCAUAACGUCGCAAGACCAAAGAGGGGGACCUUCGGGCCUCUUGCCAUCGGAUGUGCCCAGAUGGGAUUAGCUAGUAGGUGGGUAAAGGCUCACCUAGGCGACGAUCCCUAGCUGGUCUGAGAGGAUGACCAGCACCACUGGAACUGAGACACGGUCCAGACUCCUCCGGGAGGCAGCAGUGGGGAAUAUUGCACAAUGGGCGCAAGCCUGAUGCAGCCAUGCCGCGUGUAUGAAGAAGCCUUCGGGUUGUAAAGUACUUUCAGCGGGGAGGAAGGGAGUAAAGUUAAUACCUUUGCUCAUUGACGUUACCCGCAGAAGAAGCACCGGCUAACUCCGUG
Molecule: ribosomal RNA, 488 nt
Filed under: uncultured bacterium
Lineage: Bacteria
Description: partial 16S ribosomal RNA
Rfam family: Bacterial small subunit ribosomal RNA
Source: RNAcentral